Molecule: long non-coding RNA, 386 nt
Filed under: Helianthus annuus (common sunflower)
Lineage: Eukaryota; Viridiplantae; Streptophyta; Magnoliopsida; Asterales; Asteraceae
Description: hypothetical non coding rna
Source: RNAcentral
GUUGUAGUUAAAUUGAUGUAUAAAUGGUUGGCGACCUUUUUAUGAAAAUGUAGUACUUGAAUAUGUGGAGAUUACGGGUUUGCUAACCAAAUUAUUAUUGAGUAUGUUGAAAGUGCAGGUUUGUGAAUAUCGGACUUUCGAAGUGUCGAUAUAGUAAUGAAAUGAUUGAGUGUUGGAAGAUAUUCGGGUUGAAGUAACUUAAGCGGUUAGAAUAUACUAUGGACGUUUUAGUUUAUACAAUAUUUUAUGUUUGGUCGUCACCACCUACUAACAGGUUAGUUGUAUGAGAAUAUAUGUGAUACCCAUUUAAUUGGGAAAUCGAAUGCGUAAGAGAAAUGAGAGUAUGUACAUGAAUGGAAUUAAAAUGACGGUUUUAUAAGCAAACA